UUCCUGGUAGAACCCAUACAUGCUGAAGACCCACCGGCGGGUACACACAGCAGAACAAAUCUUCGAAUGCUCAGAGUGUGGCAAGAACUGCAGCUGCUACGAGGUCUGGCUCCCAACUACCGAGUGCAGUCUGACGAGAGGCGCUUUACCUGCUCUAACUGUGGCAAGAGCUUAAAGACAGCAUAUGACGUGAAGAUCCACUAGCGAGUGCACAGCGGUGAGCGGUCCUUCACCUGCUCCGACUGCAGCAAAGGCUUCAAUUCAUCGCUGGAACUAAAGGUGCACAGGCACCUGCACACCGGGGAGUGGCCCUUCACCUGCAGCGACUGUGGCAAGGGCUUCACCCACCCCCAACAGCCUGCUGGUGCACCAGUGCACCCACACCGGCGAGCGCCCCUCCACCCUGCGACCAGUGCGGCAAGGACUUCAUCCACUGCAACAGUCUGCUGUACCUCCGCUGGCGACCGUCGCUUCCCCAGCCCGGUGUGUGGAUAGCGCUUUGCCAUGGCCUCCCAUGCCCUGUCUCACCAGCACAUGCACACAAUUGGCCAGCCCUACAACUGCCCGUUUGACAGCUGAAGGGGGUUGCGGGAGCACUGGUGGGCCCAUGCAAGCUUUUCAAGAGCGCACGGGGGCUGCGGGAACACCAGCGGAUACAAAGACCAUGAUGGAGAAGGGUUUAGGAGCCGUUGCUGUGGACGGAGAGACGGGGACGUGAGCGGCCUUUGAGGGCGGCCAGGGUGCCGGUGAGCGCCCCCCCUCUGCUCUGUGUGCGGACUGAUAUUUGAGGGGCUGAGCUUCGAUGGAGGAUGGAUGUGUGUGGCAAGGCGCCCGAGCCUGCUGAAGACCCACCAGCGGGUGCACACGAGAGGCCCUUCGGCUGCUCCGACUGCGGCAAGAGCUUCAAGACGACACGUGAGCUGAAGAUGCACUGGCGGGCGCACACCGGCGAGGAGCCCUAUGGCUGCUCCACCUGUGGCAAGAGCUUGGCUUGGUUGUCGGGGCUGCGGGUGCCCCGUCGGGUGUCAGCAGUGGGUAGCCCUUCACUUGCUCCGACUGAUGCACAGGUGCCUGCACUGCACACCGGGGAGCACCCCUGCACCUGCACCCUGUGCGGCAAGGGCUAUAAGCUGCUGUCCCACCAGUAGGUGCACACCGGCGACCGUCCCUUUACCAGGCCCUUUGGCUGCUCCGACUGCGGCAAGAGCUUCAGGGCAGCGUAUGACCUGAAGGUCCACCGACGAGUGCACAUGGGUAGGAGCCCUUUGGCUACUCCACCUGCGGCAAGAGCUUUGCCCGGUUGUCGGGGUUGCGAGUGCACCGGCAGUGUGGAAGAUAAAUUAAUAUCUUUCCUUACUUCAUUUUAAUUGGAAUUGAACAAGGUAACGAAGGGUGUUUUGGAUGUGACAAUUGGAAGCUCUCGCUUGACCAGCUGCAGAAGAGGUUCGUGAGAAUCGGCAAAGUAAGAUUAGACGUAUUACCUCUUGUCUGCGAAUGUGUUGAAGGGUGGAUGGUAAAUGUAAACAUGAAAUAGUAGAGGAGAUAACAAAGCUUGUUGUUCCCCAUAAAAAUGUUACUGUAAAUGGGGGGCUCAUGAUUGGCUUGGAGAGGGGAUGGAGGCGUGGGCCACCUGAAAGGUGAGAUAGCAUAAUGUCAAGAUGCCCUUGUAUUGGGUUUGACGUAUUAAUCAUCUAAUGUUGAAUAAGAUUAACAUAAGCGACAAGUAUGUUAUGACUAAUGAAAUAAUUGGUACCCAUAUAGUUGAUAGAAUAUUUUUGUAGAUUAGUAUCUAACAAAAGUAAACAAAAGUUGUUAACUGCACAGUAUAACUGUAGGCUAAUUCUGCAGUGAAGUCAGAGAACAGGUGAGCAGUUUACUGCCACCAUCUCUCAUGAUAUCAUGCAAUAAAAUCUUUUGAAGCAAACUUGCAAAGUCUGUUAUUUUUUGUUUUCCUUUAAUCAGCCUUUAAAUUAAUUUCUUCCACAGAAUUCUUUCCAUGAGUAGUAUCUCUGCUCAAUAACCAAAGGUCUAUAGCCUCCUUUUGCUCAGGUAUUCUAUUUCAUUCACAUGUUUAAACUAUAAUGUUUUAUUAUUAAUGUUUUAUGUGUCAUUCUUAAUUUUUACUGUAUGACGUGUUGUUACUUGCGAGCAGAGCACCAAGGCAAAUUCCUUGUAUGUGCACAUACUUGGCCAAUAAACAUAUUCAUUCAUUCA
Molecule: long non-coding RNA, 2214 nt
Organism: Leucoraja erinaceus (little skate)
Lineage: Eukaryota; Metazoa; Chordata; Chondrichthyes; Rajiformes; Rajidae
Exons: 2
Source: RefSeq, a predicted model, not a curated record